RNAcentral lists this long non-coding RNA (621 nucleotides) under Citrus sinensis (sweet orange). RNAcentral's name for it is "long non-coding RNA (CSIN_LNC004021)". Lineage: Eukaryota; Viridiplantae; Streptophyta; Magnoliopsida; Sapindales; Rutaceae. The record is from RNAcentral.
GCUGUAAAAAUAAUAAACUGUAAAAAAAUUAAUUAAAUGUUUAUAAGAAUGCAAGCGAUUGAAAUGAAUAUAAUUCUGAAUAAAAUUUACUUACACAUUUAUAAGCAUGCAUAAAUAAUUUUGUUUUGUAUUUUAUUAAUUUUAUUUCUGUUAUUUUGUUAUCUCAAUAUAAAUUGAGACAAUAAUAAUCUCUUUAAUGAUGAUAACACGUGUCCGGAUGAAGACUCAGCUCCAAGCCCAAAGAGAGAUGAUUCAAACACUCCGGAAGGGGAGGAUCAGUUGAUAACUUUUGGGUUCUGCAAGAGUGUGAUUCUUGGUUUCUUGAUUGGCUUCUGGGGAGUCAGCGGCACUUUACUGGUGAAUACUUCAUGGAGACAUGGUUACUUGUAACAUAUGUGGAAAAAAAAAAAGUGAGGCGGUUAAAAAGUAAAUAAAAGUAAAAGAAGAAGCUGGAAACAAGAGAAGAGAUACACACGUGUGAGAGAGUGAGAGAAUCUGUAAACCGACCCGAAACUGGACUCGUUUGACCCAAAAUCGACUCGACCAUAUCUUGUGAUUCCGACCAACCCACCGGCCAAGCUUGGUACCAAUCUGAAGCUUGAGGACCGGCCAUCAUACCUG